RNAcentral lists this unclassified non-coding RNA (220 nucleotides) under Hevea brasiliensis (rubber tree). The record is from RNAcentral. Lineage: Eukaryota; Viridiplantae; Streptophyta; Magnoliopsida; Malpighiales; Euphorbiaceae.
AUUUUCUCAUUUUCAUUUUAGUCUCUAAUUAUUGUAUUUAUUGAGAUAUUAUCUACAUAUUUUUUAUGUACUUGUUGAAUCAUAAGAGCUACUGUAUGCUUAUUCUAAUAAUUUGAAGAGGAAUUGUUAUAAACAUUGAGGAGAGAGAAAAUUUUUUUAUUUUAAUCCCUAUUUUUGUAAUGAAACCGUCAAAGGCUAUUGUUUUAGGUUCCAUGUACAG